CCUCACAGAAAUUAAUCAUCUCUGACAGAAAUUAUGCCCAAUUUCCUUGGAUUUGGUUCUGGGCCCUGAGGUGCAAGAUGCGGUUGUACUUGUUGCAAAGGCAGAGAGCAAGACAGCAACCAAACAACACACACUCAAAAGUAGGCCUGAACAGGCAUUUACUAUUUAUAAGAUAAUCAUCUGAUCCCUCCUAAGGGAAAUCCUAUCCUUUCGGGUUGUCGAGAGCACAAGUAACUAACUGCACAGUCUCCACAGGACUGCUAGGAAGGAACAGAAGGGAAGCAAUUAUAUCAGUGAGGAGCACGCUCAGAGCGCUCAGGCAAAAUUCCUCCCUGCUCCAUAACAACACAGGCAUCCUCCUGGAAAGCGAGCCAGGGAUUAUGAACAGGGAUUAAUCCGUUACGCUAAUUUGUUAUGAGCAAAGUAAUUUUUUUAAGAGUAGUCUUCUCCAUUAAUCGUUAUCUAAAAAGGGCUCUGAUCUAGUUCUGCAAAUGUUGACAUUUUCCUGCAAGCAGUGAUAGAGGAGAGUCUCACGAUAAGGGCCCACAUUGAAAUCCAGAAACACGCCAACAAGCAGAAAACUGGCUGGCUGGAGCUACCUUGAAGGGUGGGCGAGAGACGAUGGAAGAGAAAGGAGAAGGCCCAGCUCCCAGAGCAAUCCUCACAAACGGGGUGGACAAGAGCCAUCCAGGUCUGGUGCCUGCCUUCAGCUUGCUACAGACGAAUCUGACAGCUAAGUGACACUGUCAGCAAGACAAAAGGCUGGACACUGCCACAAAACUAACAGCAAUGAUACAUCUGAGGAAAUUUCCCUGUUCAGGCUCAUUCAGAAAAAUCAAAUAACUGUCACUGCCAGUGUAAACAGACUCCUGCAAGUGCAGCAAAGGAAAUUGGAAACCAGAUGUUCCUAGAAAUUAACAAGUAAAACUUUAAAAUUUAUUUCCCAGUCUUCAUCUCAGUUUUACUUACUCAUCUUCCAGCA
Long non-coding RNA from Athene cunicularia (burrowing owl), 982 nucleotides. RefSeq lists it as uncharacterized. Lineage: Eukaryota; Metazoa; Chordata; Aves; Strigiformes; Strigidae. The record is from RefSeq and is a predicted model, not a curated record. The transcript is spliced from 3 exons.